AGAGUUUGAUCAUGGCUCAGAUUGAACGCUGGCGGCAGGCCUAACACAUGCAAGUCGAGCGGUAGAGAGAAGCUUGCUUCUCUUGAGAGCGGCGGACGGGUGAGUAAUGCCUAGGAAUCUGCCUGGUAGUGGGGGAUAACGCUCGGAAACGGACGCUAAUACCGCAUACGUCCUACGGGAGAAAGCAGGGGACCUUCGGGCCUUGCGCUAUCAGAUGAGCCUAGGUCGGAUUAGCUAGUUGGUGAGGUAAUGGCUCACCAAGGCGACGAUCCGUAACUGGUCUGAGAGGAUGAUCAGUCACACUGGAACUGAGACACGGUCCAGACUCCUACGGGAGGCAGCAGUGGGGAAUAUUGGACAAUGGGCGAAAGCCUGAUCCAGCCAUGCCGCGUGUGUGAAGAAGGUCUUCGGAUUGUAAAGCACUUUAAGUUGGGAGGAAGGGCAUUAACCUAAUACGUUGGUGUCUUGACGUUACCGACAGAAUAAGCACCGGCUAACUCUGUGCCAGCAGCCGCGGUAAUACAGAGGGUGCAAGCGUUAAUCGGAAUUACUGGGCGUAAAGCGCGCGUAGGUGGUUCGUUAAGUUGGAUGUGAAAUCCCCGGGCUCAACCUGGGAACUGCAUUCAAAACUGACGAGCUAGAGUAUGGUAGAGGGUGGUGGAAUUUCCUGUGUAGCGGUGAAUGCGUAGAUAUAGGAAGGAACACCAGUGGCGAAGGCGACCACCUGGACUGAUACUGACACUGAGGUGCGAAAGCGUGGGGAGCAAACAGGAUUAGAUACCCUGUAGUCCACGCCGUAAACGAUGUCAACUAGCCGUUGGGAGCCUUGAGCUCUUAGUGGCGCAGCUAACGCAUUAAGUUGACCGCCUGGGGAGUACGG
This 880-nucleotide ribosomal RNA is filed under the name uncultured Pseudomonas sp. RNAcentral's name for it is "bacterial SSU rRNA". It matches the Rfam family "Bacterial small subunit ribosomal RNA", at positions 8 to 885 of the family's 1533-position model. The record is from RNAcentral. Lineage: Bacteria; Pseudomonadati; Pseudomonadota; Gammaproteobacteria; Pseudomonadales; Pseudomonadaceae.